Coregonus clupeaformis (lake whitefish) is the source of this 414-nucleotide long non-coding RNA. RefSeq lists it as uncharacterized. The record is from RefSeq and is a predicted model, not a curated record. NCBI's taxonomy places the organism in Eukaryota, Metazoa, Chordata, Actinopteri, Salmoniformes, Salmonidae. The transcript has 3 exons.
CUGCACUAGAACAUCUGAUUACUACAACCUUCAAGCGCGCCACUGCACCGAGGAAGAACACACAGACACAGCAAUGGAUUGUGCUUCACAUACCAACAGCCAAAAUGACUGCAAUAAAAAAAAACCUGUUGCCAAAUGUCCUACAAAACCAGGCCAAGACAUAUCAUGCCAAGACACAUCAGGCCAAACCAUAUCAGGCCAAACCAUAUCAGGCCAAACCAUAUCAGGCCAAACCAUAUCAGGCGCUGUGAGCGGCAAUAUUUCCUUUGGCAACCAGACCAAUAAACCCAGUCAUACCGGUUAACAAAAACUCCCAGAAAAACUGUCGCACCCAGCAUCACCAUAGCCAACAUAACAGGUGGCAGAGUGGGUCUCUACUACAAGGCAGAGAAGAUGGCUCUCUGUGACCUCAUC